Molecule: ribosomal RNA, 464 nt
Filed under: uncultured bacterium
Lineage: Bacteria
Description: bacterial SSU rRNA
Rfam family: Bacterial small subunit ribosomal RNA
Source: RNAcentral
AUUGAACGCUGGCGGCAUGCCUUACACAUGCAAGUCGAACGGCAGCACGGGAGCAAUCCUGGUGGCGAGUGGCGAACGGGUGAGUAAUAUAUCGGAACGUGCCCAGUCGUGGGGAUAACGUAGCGAAAGCUACGCUAAUACCGCAUACGAUCUAUGGAUGAAAGCGGGGGAUCGCAAGACCUCGCGCGAUUGGAGCGGCCGAUAUCAGAUUAGGUAGUUGGUGAGGUAAAGGCUCACCAAGCCGACGAUCUGUAGCUGGUCUGAGAGGACGACCAGCCACACUGGGACUGAGACACGGUCCAGACUCCUACGGGAGGCAGCAGUGGGGAAUUUUGGACAAUGGACGCAAGUCUGAUCCAGCCAUUCCGCGUGCAGGAUGAAGGCCCUCGGGUUGUAACUGCUUUGUACGGAACGAAAAGGUUUGUCUUAAUACGAUGAGCUCAUGACGUACCGUAAGAAUAAGC